GCACCGUCUGGGGGAGAGAGUUCUCUCAAUCGAGGACCGCCGAAGGCGCAACCCGCCCGGAAUCGCUCAGGCUUCAGGACCGCAGACGGUGG
RNAcentral lists this non-coding RNA (92 nucleotides) under Tenderia electrophaga (SeqCode). RNAcentral describes it as "Candidatus Tenderia electrophaga Glycine riboswitch aptamer". It matches the Rfam family "Glycine riboswitch aptamer". From Rfam's summary of the family: This family represents the bacterial glycine riboswitch. Glycine riboswitches usually consist of two metabolite-binding aptamers domains with similar structures in tandem. Lineage: Bacteria; Pseudomonadati; Pseudomonadota; Gammaproteobacteria; Tenderiales (SeqCode); Tenderiaceae (SeqCode). The record is from Rfam by way of RNAcentral. RNAcentral also lists the same sequence under 1 other name.